AGAGUUAAAUAGUACGUGAAAUUGUUGAAAGGGAAACGAUUGAAGUCAGUCAUGCCGGUGGGAAUCAACUUAGGGGAAACUCUAGGUGCACUUCUUCGCUUGGCAGGUCAACGUCGAUUUUGAAUGUCAUAAAAUAAUUGGGGGAAGGUAGCUCCUUCGGGAGUGUUAUAGCCCUUGAUAGAUGUGAUGUUUGGGGUCGAGGAUUGCAACGGAUACCCUUUGGGGCUAGCCGCCUGAUCUCUAAUCGGUGUUGGGUUACGUACAGCAUGCUGACCGUGAUCUAAUUACUGGUUAAAAGGUUAGAGCGUGCAUAAAUUCGUUAAGGACGUUGACGUAAUGGCUUUAAACGACC
Molecule: ribosomal RNA, 352 nt
Filed under: Gigaspora margarita
Lineage: Eukaryota; Fungi; Glomeromycota; Glomeromycetes; Diversisporales; Gigasporaceae
Description: partial large subunit ribosomal RNA
Source: RNAcentral